This 1638-nucleotide long non-coding RNA is filed under the name Homo sapiens (human). Its description in RNAcentral is "non-protein coding CYTOR:128". The record is from RNAcentral. Lineage: Eukaryota; Metazoa; Chordata; Mammalia; Primates; Hominidae.
AGACACAGUCUCGCUCUGUCUCUUAGGCAUGAUCUUGGCUCACUGCAACCUCCACCUCCUGGGUUCAAGUGAUUCUUCUGCCUCAGUCUCCCAAGUAGGUGGGACUACGGGUGCGCACCACCAGGCCCAGCUAAUUUUUUUUCGUAUUUUUAGUAGAGACGGGGUUUCACCAUAUUGGCCAGGCUGUUCUUUAACUCCUGACCUCAUGAUCCACCUGCUUGGGCCUCCCAAAGUACUGGGGUUACAGGCGUGAGCCACUGCACCCGGCUGGAAAAAUAUUAUUCUAGUUGUUUCAAAAUGACAAGUAACUGUUGAUCAUCUUCCGUUUAAAAUAAAAUAAUGUUGUCUUAAUGUAUUUUCGUGUCUUUUUGAAUAUUUAUCUAAUUUUAAAGGUCAAACAGGAUUUAUGCAUCAUCCAUCAUUUUUUACGUCUGAGCCACCAAGUAUUUAUCAGUGGGUGAGUUCUUGUCUGAAGGGCGAAGGAAUGCCGCCUUAUCCUUACCUCCCUGGAAUCUGUGAAAGAAGCAGACUUGUAGUCUUGAGUAUUGCACUGUACAUACUUGGUGAUGAGAGCUCAGUUUCUGAUGAAUCCUCACAGUAUUUAACCAGAAUAACUGUAGCCCCCCAGAAGUUGCAAGCAGAACAAGAGGAAAACAGGUUUAGUUUCAGGCAUUCUACGUCUGUUUCUAGUCUAGCUGAAAGAUUGGUUGGCUGGAUGACUAAUGUAGGAUUCACUUUAAGAGAUUUGGAAACUCUUCCCUUUGGAAUUGCUCUUCCCAUCAGAGAUGCAAUUUAUCACUGUCGUGAGCAGCCUGCCUCAGACUGGCCAGAAGCUGUCUGUCUCUUGACUGGACGUCAGGAUCUUUCCAAGCAGGCCUGCGAAGGAAACUUACCCAAAGGGAAGUCUGUGCUCUCAUCAGAUGUUCCUUCAGGUACAGAAACUGAGGAGGAAGAUGACGGCAUGAAUGACAUGAAUCACGAGGUCAUGUCAUUAAUAUGGAGUGAAGAUUUAAGGGUGCAGGAUGUGCGAAGGCUUCUUCAGAGUGCGCAUCCUGUCCGUGUCAACGUAGUGCAGUACCCAGAGCUCAGUGACCACGAGUUCAUCGAGGAAAAGGAAAACAGAUUGCUCCAAUUGUGUCAGCGAACUAUGGCUCUUCCUGUAGGACGAGGAAUGUUUACCUUGUUUUCGUACCAUCCUGUUCCAACAGAGCCAUUGCCUAUUCCUAAAUUGAAUCUGACUGGUAUGUUAAAUUCUGGGCUCAAUGAGAAAGGAAAAUGAUUAAGUACAUGCAUUAAGUGUAGUUCUUUAAAUUAGUUAAAACAAAAGAAAUGCUCCCUCUAUCCCCAGUGAUUUAAAAUUUUCCUAAUAGCUGCUGUAGUGGUUAUCAAAGCUCAAAUGCCAUGUGAAACUAAACUUUGAGAGAAGCAGAAUAUAGUUCAUUACUCAUUUUUGCUUUUUAAUGAGGUGAUUUCAAGAUCUAAAAAGUCACUUGGAGAAGUUCAGAAAGAUAUUAUUGAUAACGAUGAGACUUGAAUUUUAAAUAAUCUUAAGUUUAAUAUGUAAAAAUAUUUAGUUUUAAAAUGUCUUACGUCAUAGUUUAAACAGAUGAUCAUUGUAUAAAUCAAGAAAUGUACUAA